RNAcentral lists this ribosomal RNA (1343 nucleotides) under human gut metagenome. RNAcentral's name for it is "bacterial LSU rRNA". It matches the Rfam family "Bacterial large subunit ribosomal RNA", at positions 1114 to 2480 of the family's 2925-position model. The record is from RNAcentral.
AGCCACUCAUUUAAAGAGUGCGUAACAGCUCACUAGUCGAGAGGUCUAGCGCCGAAAAUGUCCGGGGCUAAAACACACCACCGAAGCUACGGAAUUACCUAUGGUAAUUGGUAGAGGAGCAUUCUGUAAGGAUGAAGCACAAUUGAAAGAGAGUGUGGACGAAACAGAAGAGAGAAUGCCGGAAUGAGUAGCGAGAUAUAUGUGAGAAUCAUAUAGGUCGAAUGUCUAAGGUUUCCUGGGUAAAGCUGAUCUGCUCAGGGUAAGUCGGGACCUAAGGUGAGGGCGAGAGCCGUAAUCGAUGGACAACAGGUAGAAAUUCCUGUACUACGUAUAAUCAGAACUGUGGGGACGCAGGAGGAUAGGAAAACCGGAGAAUGGAAAAAUCCGGCUAAGUACAAAGGUGUGAGUGAUAGGCAAAUCCGUCACUAUUAGCUGAAGUACGAAUGGGAGCGAAGAAAAGUAGCGAAGUUUCUGAAUCCACACUGUCAAGAAAAGCCGCUAUUGCGUUAUACGUACCCGUACCGCAAACCGACACAGGUAGACGAGGAGAAAAUCCACAGACCGACGGGAGAAGUGUUGUUAAGGAACUCGGCAAAAUGACCCCGUAACUUAGGGAUAAGGGGAGCCAACGCAAGUUGGUCACAGAAAAGAGGCUCAAGCGACUGUUUAGCAAAAACAUAGGUCUAUGCGAAACCGUAAGGUGAUGUAUAUGGGCUGACACCUGCCCGGUGCUGGAAGGUCAAAAGGAGAGGUUAGCGUAAGCGAAGCUUUGAAUUCAAGCCCCAGUAAACGGCGGCCGUAACUAUAACGGUCCUAAGGUAGCGAAAUUCCUUGUCAGGUAAGUUCUGACCCGCACGAAAGGUGUAACGAUUUGAGCACUGUCUCGACAACACGCCCGGUGAAAUUGAAGAACCAGUGAAGAUACUGGUUACCCGCAACAGGACGGAAAGACCCCAUGGAGCUUUACUGCAGCUUAAUAUUGGGAUUCGGUAUUGUAUGUACAGGAUAGGAGGGAGACUAAGAAGCUAGCACGCCAGUGUUGGUGGAGUCGAUGGUGGGAUACCACUCUUAUAAUACUGGAUUUCUAACCUACUUCCGUGAUCCGGAAGAGGGACAUUGUUAGGCGGGCAGUUUGACUGGGGCGGUCGCCUCCGAAAGAGUAACGGAGGCGCUCAAAGGUCUUCUCAGAAUGAUUGGAAACCAUUCAAAGAGUGUAAAGGCAAAAGAAGGCUUGACUGCGAGAGUGACAACUCGAGCAGGUACGAAAGUAGGACUUAGUGAUCCGGUGGUAACAAGUGGGAGUGCCAUCGCUCAACGGAUAAAAGCUACCCUGGGGAUAACAG